AGUGGCAGACGGGUGAGUAACACGUGGGAACCUACCUAGGGGUACGGAAUAACUCGGGGAAACUCGUGCUAAUACCGUAUACGACCUUCGGGUGAAAGAUUUAUCGCCCCUAGAUGGGCCCGCGCUGGAUUAGCUAGUUGGUGGGGUAAAAGCCUACCAAGGCUACGAUCCAUAGCUGGUCUGAGAGGAUGAUCAGCCACACUGGGACUGAGACACGGCCCAGACUCCUACGGGAGGCAGCAGUGGGGAAUCUUGGACAAUGGGGGAAACCCUGAUCCAGCCAUGCCGCGUGAGUGAUGAAGGCCUUAGGGUUGUAAAGCUCUUUCGCCAGGGAAGAUAAUGACGGUACCUGGAUAAGAAGCCCCGGCUAACUCCGUGCCAGCAGCCGCGGUAAUACGGAGGGGGCUAGCGUUGUUCGGAAUUACUGGGCGUAAAGCGCACGUAGGCGGCUAUCCAAGUUGGGGGUGAAAUCCCUGGGCUUAACCCAGGAACUGCCUUCAAAACUGGAUGGCUAGAGUCCGAGAGAGGUGAGUGGAAUUUCCAGUGUAGAGGUGAAAUUCGUAGAUAUUGGAAAGAACACCAGUGGCGAAGGCGGCUCACUGGCUCGGUACUGACGCUGAGGUGCGACAGCGUGGGGAGCAAAC
RNAcentral lists this ribosomal RNA (644 nucleotides) under uncultured bacterium. RNAcentral's name for it is "bacterial SSU rRNA". It matches the Rfam family "Bacterial small subunit ribosomal RNA", at positions 94 to 773 of the family's 1533-position model. The record is from RNAcentral.